Long non-coding RNA from Tachysurus fulvidraco (yellow catfish), 3803 nucleotides. RefSeq lists it as uncharacterized. The transcript has 2 exons. The record is from RefSeq and is a predicted model, not a curated record. NCBI's taxonomy places the organism in Eukaryota, Metazoa, Chordata, Actinopteri, Siluriformes, Bagridae.
UGGAAUUAGACAAGGAUGCCCUCUUUCUCCAUUUUUAUUUUUGUUAGUCACUCAAGCUUUGGCAGUACAUAUUAAGAAAAGUCAAUUUAAUGAUAUCAGUGCUUUGGGUGCAGAAUUUAAACUUAGUCAGUUUGCUGAUGACACGGCUUUUAAAAAAACGAAAUUGAGGUUCCAGUUACAAUUGAGUAUUCUCUGAUGCGUCGGGUCUUAAAAUGAAUCUGGAUAAAUCUGCAUUGUUUCCCCUAAAAGCUUGCUCGCUUACACACAUAGAAGGUAUUCUAUAUGUGUAACAACAUCUAACAUAUCUGGGUAUAGUCAUUUGCAAAAAUGAUUAACAAAGAAGCCAGUUAAAUUUUGAACCAGAAAGAAAUUUAACUUGUGGUUAAUUAGAGAUUCAUCAAUUUUUGGGAGGGUGGUGUUGUCCAAGGCAAAAGGUAUUUCCAGAUCUGUAUAUACUUCUUUAUCAUUAGAUGUGCCCUCUACUGUGAUGAAAGUUUUGGAUAAGAUAUUGUAUGACUUUAUCUGGAGGAAAAAAAAACAUUAUUUAAAGAAGGAGGUCAUAUGCAAUACUAAAGAACAAGGGGGGCUAGAGGUUCUGGAUUAUAGUAUAAUAAUACUUUCAAGAUUAGAUGGUUAAUAGAUUUUAUGAAAAAUAAAGAUAGUGUUUUGAAUGUAUUUCCAAAUUAUAUAUUUAACUCUAUUUGUGGCAUAACAUUUUUGAUAAUGCAAUUUUUCUGUUGAUUAAAAUUCCGAUUAAACUGGCUGGUUUCCAUAGGCAGGCCCUGUUAGCAUGGAAUUUGAUCUAUAAACACAAUUUUUCACCACACAGUUAUUGUAUUUGGAAUAAUAAAGAGAGAUUAUUUAAAAACAAAUCUCUUUUUUAUCAAAACUGGGUUAAUGAAGGGAUUAUUUUGGUAAAGCAGCUGUUAAAUUCUGAUGGGUAUUUGUUGUCUUACACCGAGUUUCUUGAAAAAUUACAACUACCAGUUAAACCAAGAGAUUUUGCUAUUGUUUUUGAUGCAGUUCCAAAGAGUGUUGUAUUUCUUUUAAAGAAUUUGAGUUCUUUGCAAAUUAAUAUAGAUGACUUCUGUGGUAGUUUAAACAUCGGCAAUGUUAAUAUCUUGAAACAAAAGUGUAACAAUAAUAUUAUAAGAAAUGCCCUCUGUUGUGUUUCUUUCCCUGCAGCAGAGUUUUUUGGUCUUCCUUAUUUGGUGUUAUAUUCGGUAAUAUUUCUUAUGCUUGCGAAUUUUGUGGUCAGGAAAAGGAAGCAAUUUUGCAUCUGUUUUAUCAUUGUAUCUACUCAAGACUUUUUUGGAAGGAUAUGGAAAAUUUAUAUUAGUAGAAAAUUGGGUUGUGUGGUAGAAAUUGGUGUAUGUGAUGUGCUUUUUUUAUUUUGAGGGAUAUAAUUUGGAAAGUAAUGAACAAUAUAUUAUACAACUAUUCAUUGUAUUAGGAAAGUACCAUAUACACAAAACAAAGUGGGCCCUUUGUAAACCAAAUCUGUCCCAUUUUAUUAAUGAUUUCAAGUUAUACAGUAAUCUUCUGGAGAAAGUAAAAAAACAAAAAAGCUCAGAAAACGUGAUAUUUUAAAAGAAUUCAAGUUUUUGUAACUUUUUUCCUUUCUUUUCUGGUAGCCAAUGUGACCGAUACCUCUUGUUGUAUGGCAUUGAACAAAAAAUGUGUAUUUAUGUUUUGUCUUUUUGCAAUAAUAAUAAAAAAAAGUCAUGUGUUGACAUCGAGGAGAAUUUAUUUUAAAAAUGGUGCUGUUCCUCCUGGUAAAUAUCUCUUUAAAACUGUUUUAUUAUCCGUGGGAACUAGUGACCUAUUUGUGUGAACAUUUCUUUAUGUGCAACUCUUGUAGUUGAGGUCGGUUCGAGUAUAAUCGGCGUGAUCCUCGUAUCACGUGCAAAUAUAAGUUUCAGUUCAUUGAAUUGCAUUAAAUUCUGUUGCCGUGUGUGUUUCUUUCUUUACCACCCAGUUACAUUUUUGGUACCAGGAGUGGGGUAUUCUGACGGUCGGGAACAGUAUAGUGUAGAUCACAUCAUUGUUUUUUUGUUUUUUUUUUAAAUACGGUAGUGGCUGGUGCUUGAGUUGCAGGUCUCGCAGUGGGAGUGGUCAGCUGUGUGGUGUUCGUCCAGCUGCUGAAGACGUCGGCCGAGGGACAGGAGACAUCGCUAGCUGCUACUGAACUGCGAGUGUGGUUGCGGAUCGGGAACCAGUGAUGGGUGUUUGGCAGAAGUGGACGAGAGUGUUGUAUACACAUUACAGACAGUAUAUCCUUUGAACUGGGAAACAAAGAGAUUCUCACAAAGACUUUGUGUUGUUGAAAAGACUUUUAAGCACGUCGCAGCCGGAGGAAGAGGCUGGGAUAGAACAUGGUGCUGCUAGUGGGAAGGGUGUGGGUAAUGUGCAAGAACAGAUAGAAGAGCUAAGAAGGAAGAAUGCUGAAGCGUUGGCAGCUAAUGCCAACCUGAGUAGAGAACCAACUAGGUCCUAUUUAUAUGUGCCCAGAGAGCACCACAUUCAGCCUUUUAGUGGCGAUCUAUGCAAAGAUGGUAGAAAUGUGGAUGAGUUUAUUGAAGAGGUGGAAAGAGUGCUGCUUGUGAGAAAUCAAACACCUGAAGAUCAAGCUGAUUUUGUUCUUUCUCUGCUAAAAGGUGCUGCUGUAGAAGAGGUUAGGUUAAGGCAAGGGUUGCGUCCGCCACAAACAGAGGACAUUUUUUUGUAUUUAAUAUCGGCUUUUAGAGAAAUAUGCAGUACAGCUCAGCUGUUAGACAUUAUACACUCGCGGACAGCUGGAGGGUGAAGACCUCUGUACGUACUCUCAUGCCCUUUCACAGAUGUUGAAUAUUAUUUCAAGGCAGUCCUCUGAUGCUAUCGCCAAUGCUGGCCUUGCACUUAGAGACCAGUUUGUUGAGGGAGUCAGAGAUGUAACACUCCGAAGAGAGCUUCGUAAGUUUGUCAGGGACAAACCACAGUCUACUUUGAUCAAAGUAAGGGAUGAGACAUUAAUGUGGUCUCUCGAAGAUAGCAAACCGCGUGCUAGUAAGUUAGCCAGUAAUUAUAGCAUAACCUCUGAGGCUACAGAAGCUCAGUGUGCGGCUAUGGUGAUGCCUGUAGCGGGCUCUGUAACACUUGAUGUUCUGAAAGUGGUAGCAGAGCAGGGCAAAGCCAUAGGGGAGUUAACUCAAGCUGUUCAAUCCAAAUAUUUGCAGUACAGACAAUUGUUAAAUAUAUAUUGCUUUAAAAUGUGCAUGUUGGACACAAAGGACUUUAACCUCUUCAGGACCUCGCCCCCUUUUUGCAGGGCUUCAAAUCAUCCUCAGCUGAUACCAAUUAGCUUACCUGCUAUACGGCGUGCCGCAGAUAUAAAACAGCAGAGAGAGACAGCUCGAGGAGAGUUUUUCCUUAUACGCUAUCCCAGCACUGUGGUUGUUGUAUUUCCUAUUAAGCAAUUGGUGAACUGUAAACAUGUGAGGUUACAACGACGUUAUUGUUGAUGUGCUAGUCUGCCUUUGUCAACCGGUGUUGCGAGAUGAGCGCCGAUUUAUUUGGGUUUAUACCCCUUCUAUAUUUUUCACCUGUUUUUCUUUAGUCAGGGUGAGAGGUGAGAAUAUUGUUUUUAAUUAUGGGCAGGGAAGUUACUUUGUUAACCUUAAGUAGGUUUCUGUUUUGUUUGUUGUUUUCUGCAUUUGCUCUCUCCUGACUCCUUGGUUGUUUAGGCUUAUUUAUUCUGGCAUUUGUAUAUAACUUGUAUUUAUUGGCUUUUGUUGAGCCCUGAACAAUAAACUCAAUUUAAGAAU